This is a non-coding RNA of Acanthosepion pharaonis, 111 nucleotides long. Lineage: Eukaryota; Metazoa; Mollusca; Cephalopoda; Sepiida; Sepiidae. The record is from the annotation of a GenBank genome assembly.
AUGACCCUAUCAUGUUGGAUCACCAGUUCUUGUUGGAUCACCAAAGUUAAGCAAUAUCAAGCCUGGUCAGUACCUAGAUGGGCAACUGCUUGGGAAUACCAGGUGCUGUAA